This is a long non-coding RNA of Gasterosteus aculeatus aculeatus (three-spined stickleback), 3582 nucleotides long. The record is from Ensembl. Lineage: Eukaryota; Metazoa; Chordata; Actinopteri; Perciformes; Gasterosteidae.
CUCUGAACUUGCUAGCUCACGCUGGCUAGCAAGUUUUGUUGGAUUUGUUUCAUUAUUAUUAUUAUAAGAGCUGAUUUAUGUCAACAUGUUGGGAAAAUUAACCAAAGGGCCCGCGUUAGCUAACCCGUCCGCCGCGGGCAGACAGGAGCGAGCUAGCUUGUCCUUCUCUAGCGCUGGCUAGUUAGCUAGCUAGAAAACUGGCUCCGUCCCCUCAAGGCCUCUUUCACUAGCUCAUAACAACAACGCUGAAGUGAGAAAACUUUAUGUAUUUACAUCUGACAGAAUCCCCGGCUUAUGCUUCCUUCCCGUUGUGGCUCAAAAAAUGUAAAAACUAAUGUUUGGCAGCCGACCGCGCCGUCACUGUCACUCAGGUAUGUUGAUGGAUGGCAUCAGUGACUAUUUGUGUCAGUUGAGUUUUAAUGGACGUUUCAGAGUAAUUUACGGCCACUUGUCACGACUAGUUUACGCUUCCAGAGCCAAAGCUUCCCUCCCUCCCUCCGUCUGAAAAAGAAAAUGCCUUCUGUGUACAAUCAUCGACUCAUCCUGCUGCUAGAAUACCUGUUAUUAUCCUCGACAGGUAUGAAGACCCACGGCCCGGUUCCCCUCCGCACUCGCACGUUACCUAGUUUCCCCGCUCGCGUCUUUUCAAAGGCCAAACAUACCACCGUGCUGUACUAGCUGGAGGUGUCCCGACCGUCUCUGUCCACCUGUCUGUGUGGAGAUUUACUGCCACGCUUCAUUGUAGCAUUAUUUCACCUGGCUGGAAAGGUCCGUGCUGCACUGGUAGCUGGUGAGCUACGUGAUGGAUUGGUGGUUUUGAUCGAUCACACGCAGUUUGUUGAUAAAGGCAACAAUUGACCGGAUAAAUGUUUUUUUGGAUUGGGUCCAGCAGAGAAACUGUUUAAUAAAACCACAGUUGUCUCAGGCCUUGAGACGUCUGAGAGGCCAAAAACACGUCAGAUGAAAGAUUCACUGAGGAGAUGGCGUUGUAGUCAAAAGACAUUUGCUCUUUUUGCUUUAGCAGGAACAUCAGCUGACGCAUGUGAUUUGAGUCAUAUUUUUAAAAAUGCCCCCAAAGCCAGAUAUUGUUUUGGAGUUUUACAGAAGGUCUGUUUUCUUUGAACUAAAACACAGUUUGCAUGUUUGUUCCAGCGGAGUUCAUCAGGGAACAUGUGUAGGUCCUUUUGCAUUUGUUUAAAUGCAAUCGGUGCAACAUUAAACAUUGGCAGUAGAAACGUUACAAACUAAACAGGAACGUUGGCUCACACGCGUGUGACUGGUCGACAGCGUCGCCUUGGCGAACGAAGGACUACUGCGCUGAUAAUGUAAUUUUGCCCCCAAGCAUUCGGCAACUUUGAGACAUAUGAAAGGAUCUUCGAGUUAGUGAAUGUUUUCAUCAUUAAAAACCAUAUCACUUUCAGCCGGAUGUGAAUUUACCCCAUGUUGACCUUUGACCUGCCCGCCUCUUCCACCCAUACACAUGGUAACAGCCGCUAUUAGCAUCGACGCUAGUUUCGUCAUAGAGUAAUCCGUGACGGCCGUCACACCUGAGGCUCUUUGGAUUUUUAGAGUGUACAAGGGGGGAGGUUCUUAUCUGAUCCAGACCACUUUAGGACAACACCUGUGGCAUCCAGGACGAUAUAUUACCACCUAAGUAGCCGUGAGCCCCCCCCCCCCGGUUUAAUGUCGAGGGUGGGCAGAGUUGUCAGACAGCUGCAGGCAGGAAGUGAAGAUGACAGACGGGAACGCCUUGUACUCAUGGAGCAGUGAAACGAGGAGGUUUAACGAGCAAGAGGUGAUCGGGUUCAAAACCGAGCAAGAGGAGAAAAAGAAAAGCACUCUUACCUGAAUACUUCCACCACCGCUGGUCAUUAUUGAUCGCUGUGAUCGUUUGCUCUGGUCUGGAAGCUGAUCUGAGAUCUGUCAUCCUGUCACUGUCUCUCUUUGAUCUGCGGGACGAGCUCAGAGGAUGUUUAUUCCUCACCUAAAGUGUUGACAGGUGUCAAGGGGGGGCUGCCCAGGCCCGGGGACUUUACAGGCUUUACCUGAGACCAUAACAGCUCCCCAGUGGAGACAAUUAGCCGCUAAACGCCUCCCUCCUCGCCACUGUUUGUUUACCCCCCCCCCGGUGUUUGCUUCUCUUCCUCGUUGGUGUUAGAACGUCCGGAGAGCCGCAGAAGACAAGAAGUUUGUGGUUGACACCAAAGACGUCUGUUUAGUUUGUACUUAAUGGAUUGUGUUAACGCAGCCUUGUUGUUAUUGCUUCCUGUUUUCACAAUAAAAGGUUAUUGUCAGCUGCAUGAGACUAAAAGUAAAAGCAUAUUUGAAAUCUGCUUGAAAUAAAAACAGAGGCUUGAUAUUUACCGACUUCCGUAAUAAUGCAGUCAACACGGUGUAGUAAGUAGCAGGUAUUCUGUGGUAUUUCUGUGAAACUUGUGAAGUACUUAAAGUGUCUCCUGAGGUAAAAUUCCUUUCUAAGUACAAUCAAUAAAAUGUAUAACGAGGACAUGCAGAGGCAGUAGAUGUUUUAAUCAUUCAAUAAUACAAGUACUUAUUAAAAAGUACCCACAGAAUGUUAUAUAUAUAUAUAUAAAGACGUGUUUUGCAAAAAGUUAGAACUAUUGAUGGUCCUUCAAAAGGAGGUUGUUUGAAACAGGGGACAGAAGACAGCUCUCUGUGAGGACGUGUCUCUUCCUGCUGAGACACAUCGGCCAUCAUCGCCCCCGAGCCCCCCGCUGAGCCUCUGCUUCACAUGCAUAUGAGAGGUGCUACUCUAUGAUGGAGUCACAUCGCUGGUUUAACACGAGACUUCACAGCAGAAGGAGAACAACACGGACGUCCUCCAGCAGAUGUUUGAAGGAAAGAAGACGUCGCUUCUCCAAUUCUCAACGUUUGAAUGAUUUUAGGUUGUUUGAAAAGGAGACAGAAACAAAAAGAGAGAGUUAGAUACGGAAGGAAGGGAGCGGGGAACCAAGUUACCAAAUCACUGGAUAAAGUGGGGAUUUAAAAUCGAAAGAAGAAGAAAUUUAGCAACUAAAACCAAAAAUCAAAUGAGAUGUCUGUGAGGAAAAAGGGAAGAUGAUCAAUAAGAUGAAAAAAAAAGACUUUAUCCCGUCACUUGCGUCACAGAUUUCAAUCUAUCUGAUGACUAUCUUAUUAAAUAAUUGUUUUAAUGUUAAAACUAUGUGUGUAUAUGGAUCUAUAGAUACAAUGUGGACUCGUAGAAACCCCCCGGAGGACCCUGGGGAGCCCCCACGCCUCAGUUUGAGACCCCCCCCGUCACUCAGCGCUGAGCAGCUCUAAACGGUAAUUUAUGUGUUGUUGUUGAGGACAAAUUGCUGCAGGAGGAGAACCAUUAGCUAAACGGCUCGGAGACGAGUCUCCACCUGCAGCAGCUAUGGGAAAAAUGUCCCCACUCCACCGGUUGGGCGGGGGGGUUAAUUUUCAACAUUUAAAUACAUUUUACAAUUAAACAACUAGACAAUUAUAAAUAAUGAACAAGAUGAAACAUAAGAGGAAAUUUAAAUAAAAACAAACGUAAUUGUUGAAGUUCUUCACUACGACUAAAAUCGAAUGUCACAU